Molecule: RNA transcript, 1294 nt
Organism: Musa acuminata AAA Group (dessert banana)
Lineage: Eukaryota; Viridiplantae; Streptophyta; Magnoliopsida; Zingiberales; Musaceae
Gene name: UMP-CMP kinase 4-like
Exons: 11
Source: RefSeq, a predicted model, not a curated record
UUUUCUCGGCCACCGUCUCUCUCUCUCUCUCUAUAAAUAAGUGGUGAGAUAAACGCGGAGGCGUCGAUUUCCCUCCUUCCAAUCUUCAUCACUCUUUGUUUUUCGCGAGGAAUUGGAAUCGAAUUUCUCGGUCUCAGGUCGGAGAACUCUUUGGAUUUCUCUUCUUGGUUUGAAGUUUGAUUUCUUGCGUUCCUCCGUUGGUAGAACCGACGUAAAAUUUGACAUCCGACUUGCUUCUGACGGGCACAAUGGUAGAUUCAAGCAAGGAUGUAAAUGGGGGCUUCCCAGGUGACAAGAAGAUCACAGUUGUUUUUGUGUUAGGUGGGCCUGGCAGUGGAAAAGGCACCCAGUGUGCAAAAAUUGUUGAAAACUUUGGUUUCACUCAUCUUAGUGCUGGUGAUCUUCUGCGUGCAGAAAUCAAGUCUGGUUCAGAAAAUGGUUCAAUGAUCUCCAGCAUGAUAAAGGAAGGCAAAAUUGUCCCUUCUGAGGUUACUGUUGAACUUCUACAAAAGGCUAUGCUUGAGAGUGGAAACGAUAAAUUUCUUAUUGAUGGCUUUCCUCGAAAUGAAGAGAAUCGUGCUACUUUUGAGAAUGUUACAAAAAUUGAGCCAGAAUUUAUACUUUUUUUUAAUUGUCCAGAGGAAGAGAUGGAACAGAGACUUUUGAGUCGCAACCAGGGGAGAGAUGAUGAUAACAUUGAGACCAUAAGGAAGCGUUUUAAAGUUUUUGUUGAAUCCAGUAUACCUGUAGUCGAGUAUUAUGACAUGAAGGGCAAGGUUCGGAAGGUCUGUUUUAACAUAAUGCACCCUUUUUGAGCAGCUUGAGGCUAAGAAAUCCGUGAUCUGAGGCUGAGUGGUUCUGGCUCAUCUUGGUCCAAUCAUACACACAUGCAUGCUCAUUUAAGUGUGCUUACACUUGCGCGCGCACACACAAUUCGACCUUUUUCCAGUUUGAUUGGAGCUAAGAAAUUCAUGGUCUAACUUCUAAGGCUGAGUUGAUGCUCUGAAGCCUAUUGAUGAGGUCUUUGAAGCUGUAAAAGCUGUUUUCGACCCAUUUCAUGUGAAAGUUGAGUAGAGAUGCUGUGGACUGCGGUGAUAAUAACCUGCAUUAUAUUACACGUAUGCUGCUUUGUUGGAUAGCAUUGUUGAUCAAGUUUUCAGCUUAAGCAUCUGACUGCUUAGUAAAUGUUGAUCUUAUUUUACUGUAGAAAAAAUAAAUCUUUAUACAUCACAAAAUUACCUGAAAUUGUUGUACAUCUUUAGUAAUUUAUUUUACCAGGAAUAAUCUUCAUGGA